UACCCGCAGCACAAGUGGUGGUCAUUAUUAUUGGGCCUAAAGCGUCCGUAGCUGGCGUGUUAGAUGCCUGGGUAAAUCGAUGUGCUCAACGCAUCGAAUUCCGGGUAGACCGGCACGCUCGAGACCGGGAGAGGUAUGGGGUACUCGGGGGGUAGGGGUAAAAUCCUGUAAUCCUCCGGGGACGACCAGUGGCGAAGGCGCCAUACUAGAACGGCUCUGACAGUGAGGGACGAAGCCCUGGGGCGCAAACCGG
RNAcentral lists this ribosomal RNA (253 nucleotides) under uncultured bacterium. RNAcentral describes it as "partial 16S ribosomal RNA". It matches the Rfam family "Archaeal small subunit ribosomal RNA", at positions 474 to 727 of the family's 1478-position model. The record is from RNAcentral.